CCUUAGUAWCGGCGAGUGAAAAGGAAAGAGCUCAGCGUCGAAACCGUGUUGGCUCUGGUUGACAUGGUAUUGUGACGUAUAGAGGUGAUCAUGUGCAGUUUGUUGACUUUACGAAUUUCCUUUGACUAGGAAUCCAAAGCUGGUGCGAGACCCGUACGUAUCGUCGACUUGUUGUACGCGUUUACUUCUUGGAGUCGGGUUGUUUGAGAUCGCAGCCCUAAGUAGGUGGUAUACUUCAUCUAAAGCUAAAUACGACUACGAAUCCGAUAGCAAACAAGUACCGUGAGGGAAAGUUGCAAAGUACUUUGAAGAGAGAGUUCAAGAGGACGUGAAACCGAUAGGAUGGAAGCAGAUGAAGUUGACGAACGAGUGUUGUAUUCAGAGCUGCAUCUUGUGUGCGGUUUGUUCUUGCAACCGAUGUGGGCCGGCGGCUCUGGUUAAUGCACUGUGCCAAUCGUCGAUGGUGACCCUGCGGAGGGAUACUCGGUCGGCGUGCGGUGCGUGGUAUAGCUAGGGUUCUGUCGCCGGUCUUGAAGUCAGCGCCUCAUCUGACCCGUCUUGAAACACGGACCAAGGAGUGUAGCGUUUACGCGAGUCUUAGAGUGUGUGAAAACUUUGAGGCGCAACGAAAGUGAAUGCAGCUUGAUCUGCUGACUUGGGAUGCGUUGUCUCUUGUGGACGGCGUCGGACCAAGGUUUUAUCGCGAUCGCUUGCGAUGCGGUGAAAAUAGAGCGUAAACGGUGCGACCCGAAAGAUGGUGAACUAUGCCUGAGCAGGAUGAAGCCGGAGGAAACUCUGGUGGAAGUCCGAAGCGGUUCUGACGUGCAAAUCGAUCGUCUGACUUGGGUAUAGGGGCGAAAGACUAAUCGAACCAUCUAGUAGCUGGUUUCCUCUGAAGUUUCCCUCAGGAUAGCUG
RNAcentral lists this ribosomal RNA (916 nucleotides) under Steinernema sacchari. Its description in RNAcentral is "eukaryotic LSU rRNA". It matches the Rfam family "Eukaryotic large subunit ribosomal RNA", at positions 78 to 984 of the family's 3401-position model. Lineage: Eukaryota; Metazoa; Nematoda; Chromadorea; Rhabditida; Steinernematidae. The record is from RNAcentral. RNAcentral also lists the same sequence under 1 other name.